GGCACUUUCGGAGAUGGCAUUCCUCCCGUAACCGCACCGCUUCCCGGCGGCGCUGAUGAUGCCUACGAGUUC
Molecule: regulatory RNA element, 72 nt
Organism: Paraburkholderia tropica
Lineage: Bacteria; Pseudomonadati; Pseudomonadota; Betaproteobacteria; Burkholderiales; Burkholderiaceae
Rfam family: Fluoride riboswitch aptamer (crcB RNA motif)
Source: Rfam